Neodiprion fabricii is the source of this 1523-nucleotide long non-coding RNA. RefSeq lists it as uncharacterized. Lineage: Eukaryota; Metazoa; Arthropoda; Insecta; Hymenoptera; Diprionidae. The transcript has 5 exons. The record is from RefSeq and is a predicted model, not a curated record.
GACAAAUGUGAUUCUGUACACUAUUCUUAGCGAGUUUUGCCGUUAUUAGUAACGAAAAGUGUCGUUAUGAUGUCGUUACGGUGGGAGCGGAUAGCGAGGCUCAGAGACCCCCUCGGUACGCUAUAACGACCAUUAUAACGAUACUUUGCACACGAGCUAGAGGAGUGGUGUGCGUUUCCCAUAUUUUUCUCGACUCCGAGAAAGUGCUUCGAAAAGUGCUCCGAAAGUGAAAAAUAAUUACGCCGUUCGAAAUAACAAGUAAGAUCAUGGCUAUCGAAUACCUUGCUUGGGAUGUAUUCGUUCUUAAGGAAAGAUUACGUCGACUCGAACGUCGUGUGGAAAGAAGGCGACUGAGAGAUGCUUAGAAUCCUUUUCAGCUACCACGAGAAGAGUUUCUCAGCCUUUUUCGCCUGCCUCAAGAAGCUGUGAUGAAUCUCGUUAAUCUGUUACGUGCAGAGUUGCAGAGUGAACGGGUUAUUGGGUUAAGCCCAGAAAUCAAGGUGUUGGUCGCCAUUCGAUUUUACGCUCAAGGUUGUUAUCAAUGGAGUGUCGGAACCAACAACAAUUUAACAUCAGCCAGUCAUCAACAAGUCGUUGCCUGCAUGCUGUUACCGAAGCAAUCAACAGGCGCUUGCUUCGUAGAUGGGUAAAAUUUCCAAUGACUGCCAUCGAUCAGCAGCAAGGAAGGGAAAAGUUUGCUACUGCUCCAUAGCCAUUUGAGGGUGCAAUAGGCGCAAUCGACUGUACGUUUGUACACAUACUUGCCCCAUCGGAACAUGAGGAGGCAUUCGUCAAUCAUCAUGGCCGGCAUUCUUUGAACGUGCAAGCAAUUGUUGAUCCAGAUCUCACAAUAUUGAACAUAAAUCCACGACAUCCAGGUGCUCGAAAUGAUGCGUACAUAUGGAGCACAUCACCUAUCCGGAGGGCUAUGGAAUUCCAUUAUAAUCGAGGAGAACGAAGAACUUGGCCAAUUGGUGACGCUGGAUAUCCGUUGGAGCCUUGGCUAUUAACACCUCUGGCCAAUUUUCCUGAAGAUACGCGACAACAUUAAUAUACACAACAACUAUGUAAGGCUAGAAGCGUCGUCGUGCGGUUUUUUGGAGUUUUUAAAUCUGUAUGGAGAUGCUUGUCAUACCAGCGAGUCUUGAUGUACGAACCAGCGUUCGCAGCGAAAAUUGUUAAUGCGUGUGCAGUACGGCACAACAUGAGAGUGCAACUACGAUUAAACAAUGAAGAUGACGAACAACUAGCACCGAUAGCUCAUCCCGUAGAGAAUGAUGUUGAUCCGAUGGAUCAAGAUGAAGAAUACAACAGACAAGGACCACGCGCUUUGGCUCAACGAAUUCAACAACAAAUUAUGAGAGAAAGAUUUCCCAACUUCCGUGAUGCGGAAAAAUAGAAUACAGAAUAUGGAAUGAUGUUUAUGGUUAAAUUACCAACAAGUAUAAUGUUUAAAGGUGAUGAGAGAAAUUAACGACAACAGAGUCAGGGCGGUGUUACGCCCUGACAUACCGCCUUGGCGU